CUCAGCUGAAGUAUCCCACGCUGCCCAGAGAGGAGCAAGGCGACUGAGGCUAGGUGUGGGAUGGCGAGGGCCAGCUGGCCAGCCGGGGCUGCUGAGGGAUUUGGAGUGGCGACAACGGGCAGCCACUGCCAGGCACCGCGUGGACAUGCCAGCUGUUGCCCGACACCUGCUAUCACGCCACAGAGAUGGGCGGACCAGAAACCCAGUGUCAUCACUCGGGUCUGUAACUGCCAUUUUCCGCUGGGAAAGAGAAAUGAACCUGUACUUACCAGAAAAGGUAGCUCAUCCACCAUGGCAGAAGAGGCAGACCCAGACUGUUGAUUCGAAAACAAUAACAAAACAUUUGGCAUGAGGAUUGGGUGUUGAGGGACCACUUGUCACAUUGUCCAAGUCCAACAGGAGUGCAUCCCUAAGGCCAUCCAGCGCAUGGACAUCCUGUGUCAGUGUGAUCCGACUGCGAGCGUCCAGUUGUGGAGACUACAGCACAUCGAGCCUGCGGACGGACAGAACGUCAGGCUCACCUCACAAGAAGCAGUGCAUGAUCAACGCCACCCUCAGCGAGGAGAUCUGCUGGAAGUGAUGUACUCUCUCGCUCUCUCUCUCUUAUCGGGGUAAGACAUAACUUAAACAUCACAGGUAUAAAUUCCCACUGUGCCCAUGAUAAAAUGCAAUGUAAACUGUGUUGUACUACUGAAUGAAACUGUGAGGAGAUGCAUUCAGACCAGCCUGUGAUUGAACUAACGUUGGAUAUAUUACUUUAGUUGGCUGCUUUGAGCAAGACUUGAAUGUAAUAUAACAUUUUCUAGGAGCCUAUUGUUUGUGUAUGAUCUUUAUUCAGUGUUUACUUGUUUUUAAACAAUGUCAGGUAGAGGCAGGGAUGACUAGUGUCUUCAGUAUACAUUUUUUAGACAGGUUAAAUGUUAUAUCAUAUUGUAUCAUAGCCAACAUACAAUUGAAUAUAGCGUAGGGUCAGACACUCUUUUGAGUAUUAUUUUGUUCCACUCACCUCUCUUUCUAAUCUGAAUUAACAAUACUCACCAUUUACAUUUUUUACUGCCUUUAAAUGAGUCAGUUGAGACAGUGUUUCAAGAAGCUAACGUUUGGCUGCAAAUGUGAAUACAUGUCCAAUAAAUAGUAAUAUAUAAUAAUAUGUAAUAUAUUUACAAUUGCUCCAUACUAUGUGAUAAUGCCAAUGUCACAUAUAAAUAUCUAUGAGUCCAUUGAUUAUCAUUGUCUCAACUUGUUCCUUUUCCUUAAUUCAUCAUAUCUUAAAUUACUUAACUUUUGGCCUUAAUUUUUUCUAUGCAAUUUUUAUGAAAUGUGACAUAUUCUUGACAUUAACUAUAUUCUACACCUUUUCUUAUUGUUACAGAUCGUGGUGAAGGAUUUGCACCCUGUGAUGUGAUCGCAUGCACACUGUGUAGUAUGUAUCUUGUACAGCUUUAUGCAACCAUAAAGUUGCUCUGCUGUACCAGGUGGCACAUUAUUCACAGCUCAAAAACCCAGUGGUCCCCCCAGUCCUUAGCUGCACCGAGAGCGAGCAGUGUUGGCACAAGCCAAGAACUACGCUAAGUCUGAGAACACUCUACAAAGGCCUCCAAGGGGAACUGCCUAACCUGUCUGUCCUGAAUGCGUCCGAGGGUUUUUCUUUAUUUUUACUGAGAUGGUUUGGGAUGAGUCGAACCGAAGUGUGAAGGAAAAGCAGUCAACAAGUGUUCUGCAUAUGUUGGAACUUCUUCAAGACUGGUGGAAAAGCAUUCCUCGUGAAGCUGGUUGAGAGAAUGCCAAGAUUGUGCAAAGCUGUCAUCAAGGCAAAGGGUGGCUACUGUGAAGAAUCUCAAAUAUAAAAUAUAAAAGUUGAACACUUGUUUUGGUUACU
Molecule: long non-coding RNA, 1879 nt
Filed under: Salmo salar (Atlantic salmon)
Lineage: Eukaryota; Metazoa; Chordata; Actinopteri; Salmoniformes; Salmonidae
Description: lncRNA (ENSSSAG00000110558.1)
Source: RNAcentral